CGGGUGAGUAACGCGUGAGGAACCUGCCUCAAAGAGGGGGACAACAGUUGGAAACGACUGCUAAUACCGCAUAAGCCCACAGCUCGGCAUCGAGCAGAGGGAAAAGGAGUGAUCCGCUUUGAGAUGGCCUCGCGUCCGAUUAGCUAGUUGGUGAGGUAAUGGCCCACCAAGGCGACGAUCGGUAGCCGGACUGGGAGGUUGAACGGCCACAUUGGGACUGAGACACGGCCCAG
Molecule: ribosomal RNA, 233 nt
Filed under: uncultured bacterium
Lineage: Bacteria
Description: partial 16S ribosomal RNA
Rfam family: Bacterial small subunit ribosomal RNA
Source: RNAcentral